AAUGAAGGAUUAGACAAAAUUGUCAAAAAUACACAACUAUUGGAAAUAUUUAUGGAAUCUCUCCAUAGAUGCAAUAACUAUGCGAGAUAUAAGGGAUGUCGUAUACUGGAAGAAAAUAUGAUGGGAUCAAUGGUUCCAAAGACCCGGAAUAUCUUCGAGCAAUAUAUUGGAAAAAAAAUAUGGAAUAGAUAUUCAAAGAAAACCUGAUUCGAUGGAUAGUCCGUGUGGAGCAUUGGGAGGGAAAUAUUUUGACACUUCCCCCUGCCUCGGUAGACAUGUUGCCGGUGUGUGUGGGUCUUUGAGCACCUGCGAUCUGUUGGAAGGAUUUCCUUACGGCUUAGUCAAGCAAAUGCCCACAACUGACCAGCAACCAAGUAUAUAUGUAUCUAAGUUGAAGUAAUUUGCUGAUGAUCAGUUCAUAAUUGUUUCCAUUACACCAAUCAGGGAAUAAAUACAUAAUGACCGAUAA
Drosophila pseudoobscura is the source of this 469-nucleotide long non-coding RNA. RefSeq lists it as uncharacterized. The transcript has 2 exons. NCBI's taxonomy places the organism in Eukaryota, Metazoa, Arthropoda, Insecta, Diptera, Drosophilidae. The record is from RefSeq and is a predicted model, not a curated record.